CCCUUUGAGAAAGCACCCUUACGAGGAAGAAUCCCAAGGCUCAGGAGGUGAACAGAUUCAUCUCCUACAGCACAACUAAUAGGUAAUGUACCAGGAUAAGGAUCUCUGGCAGCCCAGCUCCCAACUCUCAGGUUUUAACUACACCGCAGAGCCACCUCUGGGAAGCAGCACACACUCUGCACAACUUGAGGGCAGGAGACCAGUCUUAUUAUCAUUGUAACUCUGCUGCCAGCAAAGAAUCUUAAACAGUUUCUUGAAGUAGGCAGAAGCAGUGAUGACAACCGUAUGCCUUUGCUCAUGAAGUUUCCUUCUAUCAGUCAUUUCACUCCACUACUGUCAAGUCUUUGGAAGGAAUUUUGGAUGUUCCCUGACUCCAGGUUUAAGGACUGUUCCACCAAAAGGUUAUUAAGUAAAUGUUUACAGUAAUCUUUGCCCACCUUGGACUGUUCCUAUCUCUGGUAUUUCACCACGAUCAGAGUCUAAGAUCAUUUGGCAAACAUUUUAAGGAAAUAAAAGGUAUGAAAAUCCCUUUAUUGAGGUCAGAACUAUGGAGUUACGGAGAUACUUGGUAGACUCCCCAGCAGCUGAGAACAGUCAGCUAGAAAGUGAUGCAGAAAUUCAUAAACCAUAUUAAAAGUUUUGG
Molecule: long non-coding RNA, 643 nt
Organism: Odocoileus virginianus texanus
Lineage: Eukaryota; Metazoa; Chordata; Mammalia; Artiodactyla; Cervidae
Source: RefSeq, a predicted model, not a curated record